GCUCCUGUGGUGGAAUUGGCAGACACACCGCACUCAAAAUGCGGCGCCGAAAGGUAUGAGGGUUCGAGUCCCUCCAGGAGCA
RNAcentral lists this transfer RNA (82 nucleotides) under Ruaniaceae bacterium. Its description in RNAcentral is "tRNA-Leu". It matches the Rfam family "tRNA". Rfam says of the family: Transfer RNA (tRNA) molecules are approximately 80 nucleotides in length. Their secondary structure includes four short double-helical elements and three loops (D, anti-codon, and T loops). The record is from RNAcentral. Lineage: Bacteria; Bacillati; Actinomycetota; Actinomycetes; Micrococcales; Ruaniaceae.